GCAGUCGUGGCAGAGUGGUUAAGGCGAUAGACUAGAAAUCCAUUGGGGUCUUUUCGUGCAGGUUUGAAUCCUGUUGACUGCG
Ixodes scapularis (black-legged tick) is the source of this 82-nucleotide non-coding RNA. Lineage: Eukaryota; Metazoa; Arthropoda; Arachnida; Ixodida; Ixodidae. The record is from Rfam.